RNAcentral lists this ribosomal RNA (385 nucleotides) under uncultured bacterium. Its description in RNAcentral is "bacterial SSU rRNA". It matches the Rfam family "Bacterial small subunit ribosomal RNA", at positions 30 to 414 of the family's 1533-position model. The record is from RNAcentral.
AUUGAACGCUGGCGGAAUGCUUUACACAUGCAAGUCGAACGGAACUUAAGGGCUUGCUCUUAAGUUUAGUGGCGAACGGGUGAGUAAUAUAUCGGAACGUAUCCAAUAAUGGGGGAUAACUAAUCGAAAGGUUGGCUAAUACCGCAUACGCCCUACGGGGGAAAGCAGGGGAUCUUCGGACCUUGCGUUAAAUGGAGCGGCUGAUAUCUGAUUAGCUAGUUGGUGAGGUAAAGGCUCACCAAGGCGACGAUCAGUAGCUGGUCUGAGAGGACGACCAGCCACACUGGAACUGAGACACGGUCCAGACUCCUACGGGAGGCAGCAGUGGGGAAUUUUGGACAAUGGGCGAAAGCCUGAUCCAGCCAUUCCGCGUGAGUGAAGAGGC